AAGAUGAGCUUAGGCGAAAGCAUUUACCAAGGAUGUUUUCAUUAAUCAAGAACGAAAGUUAGGGGAUCGAAGAUGAUUAGAUACCAUCGUAGUCUUAACCAUAAACUAUGCCGACUCGGGAUUGGCAGUCGUUUACUUUUAAUGACCUUGUCAGCACCGUAUGAGAAAUCAAAGUCUUUGGGUUCCGGGGGGAGUAUGGU
RNAcentral lists this non-coding RNA (200 nucleotides) under Albugo candida. RNAcentral's name for it is "Eukaryotic small subunit ribosomal RNA". It matches the Rfam family "Eukaryotic small subunit ribosomal RNA", at positions 932 to 1129 of the family's 1831-position model. Lineage: Eukaryota; Oomycota; Peronosporomycetes; Albuginales; Albuginaceae. The record is from Rfam by way of RNAcentral.